GUUGACCUCGAAUCAGGUAGGACUACCCGCUGAACUUAAGCAUAUCAAUAAGCGGAGGAAAAG
This 63-nucleotide ribosomal RNA is filed under the name Metarhizium anisopliae. Its description in RNAcentral is "partial 28S ribosomal RNA". It matches the Rfam family "Eukaryotic large subunit ribosomal RNA", at positions 1 to 61 of the family's 3401-position model. The record is from RNAcentral. Lineage: Eukaryota; Fungi; Ascomycota; Sordariomycetes; Hypocreales; Clavicipitaceae. RNAcentral also lists the same sequence under 2 other names.